Molecule: transfer RNA, 33 nt
Filed under: Lycopodium clavatum (stag's-horn clubmoss)
Lineage: Eukaryota; Viridiplantae; Streptophyta; Lycopodiopsida; Lycopodiales; Lycopodiaceae
Description: partial transfer RNA-Leu
Source: RNAcentral
GACUUAAAAUCCGUUGGCUUUAUAGACCGUGAG